This 326-nucleotide ribosomal RNA is filed under the name uncultured eukaryote. Its description in RNAcentral is "partial 18S ribosomal RNA". It matches the Rfam family "Eukaryotic small subunit ribosomal RNA", at positions 1470 to 1796 of the family's 1831-position model. The record is from RNAcentral.
CCCUUAGAUGUUCUGGGAUGCACGCGCGUUACACUGAUUCGUUCAACGAGUUUAUGACCUUGCCUGAUGAGGUGGGGGAAUCUUUUCAAAUCGCAUCGUGAUGGGGAUAGAGUAUUGUAACUGUUAGUCUUCAACGAGGAAUUCCUAGUAAGUACGUGUCAUCAGCUCGUACUGAUUAUGUCCCUGCCCUUUGUACACACCGCCCGUCGCUCCUACCGAUUGAGUGCUCAGGUGAAUAGUAUGGACUGCAUCAGUGUUCGGUCUCCGAAUGUUGACGCGGGAAAUUCUGUGAAUCUUAUUGCUUAGAGGAAGGAGAAGUCGUAACA